RNAcentral lists this ribosomal RNA (253 nucleotides) under uncultured microorganism. RNAcentral describes it as "partial 16S ribosomal RNA". It matches the Rfam family "Bacterial small subunit ribosomal RNA", at positions 524 to 776 of the family's 1533-position model. The record is from RNAcentral.
UACGGAGGGGGCAAGCGUUGUUCGGAGUUACUGGGCGUAAAGCGCGCGUAGGCGGUGCGGUAAGUCAGGGGUUAAAGGCUGCAGCUCAACUGCAGUAAGGCCUUUGAUACUAUCGUGCUAGAGUGCCGGAGAGGGUAGCGGAAUUCCCUGUGUAGCGGUGAAAUGCGUAGAUAUAGGGAGGAACACCGGUUGCGAAGGCGGCUACCUGGCCGGUAACUGACGCUGAGGUGCGAGAGCGUGGGGAGCAAACAGG